UGACAAAAUUCUCGAUGUCUCUUGGUC
Molecule: non-coding RNA, 27 nt
Filed under: Rattus norvegicus (Norway rat)
Lineage: Eukaryota; Metazoa; Chordata; Mammalia; Rodentia; Muridae
Source: RNAcentral